Molecule: long non-coding RNA, 800 nt
Filed under: Cyanistes caeruleus (blue tit)
Lineage: Eukaryota; Metazoa; Chordata; Aves; Passeriformes; Paridae
Description: lncRNA (ENSCCEG00000011130.1)
Source: RNAcentral
GUUUUGAAUUGCACUGGAGACAAUCUGUUCCAAAAGACUCAAGUCUUCUUCACAGAGGAAUCUGAUCUCUCAAGAUGUCUCUGGCUGUUUUGAAAUUAAAAUGAUAUUUUGACUGCAAGUGCAUGAAAAGGCAGGCUCAAAGAGUGCUGGAAACUGAGAUAUAAAGGUGGUUCCUGUGCAAAAUAGACAAUUCUACUUAGCUGACAUAGUGUUGUAGGAAACUGGAGGGGUGGUGAAAUGAGUUUGGAAAUUCUCUUCAGGGAAAAUUAAUUUCAGCAAGCUUUGGAAAAUCUUACAGACUUUUCUGGUACCCUCUGUCACCCCUCUUCUUCCCUUGUUAUCUCUCUAAAGUAGGAAAAGGUUCAGUACACAGUACUCUUCUCAAAACCUUUGUGAAGAGAGUGCUUCGGGGCAAGGAAUUGGAUGGAAGCAACAGACAACCAGUUUGCCAUGAGAUGGCUGGAAAUACAGCUAUGACUCCUCUCAGUUUCAUUAUUACUGAAGAGUGUUUGAAAUACAGAGCCUUCUGUGUUGUGCCAGUAGGGCAGUGGGCCUCCCCCACCGUGGUUAUAUGGGAGCAUAUGAAGGAAGCAAUGUAUCACAAACAAGACCAGCAGAUGGUUUUGUCCUCAAGUCUCUCAUUGGUGGCAGUAAUUCUAAAGGGAACAGCAACGCUGGUGCAGUGCUAUUUGUGUGUCUCCAGCUCCAGCAGUUGUUGCUGUGGGUGGAGAGAGCAGGCACUCAUCUUCAGUGUGAGGAGCCCCAGACUUUGGAAAAGAACAAGAAAAUCUGUCUCCUGA